Molecule: non-coding RNA, 52 nt
Organism: Equus caballus (horse)
Lineage: Eukaryota; Metazoa; Chordata; Mammalia; Perissodactyla; Equidae
Source: Rfam
AUUUUAGUAUAACUGUGUCCCAUUCAAUAUUUGGGACACAGUUAUACUAAAA